This 429-nucleotide ribosomal RNA is filed under the name Gemmatimonadota bacterium. RNAcentral's name for it is "Gemmatimonadetes bacterium partial 16S ribosomal RNA". It matches the Rfam family "Bacterial small subunit ribosomal RNA", at positions 355 to 776 of the family's 1533-position model. Lineage: Bacteria; Pseudomonadati; Gemmatimonadota. The record is from RNAcentral.
UAGGGAAUCUUCGGCAAUGGACGAAAGUCUGACCGAGCAACGCCGCGUGUGUGAAGAAGGUUUUCGGAUCGUAAAACUCUGUUGUUAGAGAAGAACAAGGACGUUAGUAACUGAACGUCCCCUGACGGUAUCUAACCAGAAAGCCACGGCUAACUACGUGCCAGCAGCCGCGUUAAUACGUAGGUGGCAAGCGUUGUCCGGAUUUAUUUGGCGUAAAGCGAGCGCAGGCGGUUUCUUAAGUCGGAUGUGAAAGCCCCCGGCUCAACCGGGGAGGGUCAUUGGAAACUGGGAGACUUGAGGGCAGAAGAGGAGAGUGGAAUUCCAUGUGUAGCGGAGAAAUGCGUAGAUAUAUGGAGGAACACCAGUGGCGAAGGCGGCUCUCUGGUCUGUAACGGACGCUGAGGCUAGAAAGCGUGGGGAGCAAACAGG